UGUUGGCACGUCCGCGGAUGCUCGAGUGUUAGAACCGUGAAGGCCCUGAAGAAUGGCGCUGUAUGUUUUGUGGAGGAACCCAUAAGGGAGGUAAACGUGGACAUCCAAAUACCAGACAGAUUGGACGGAGCGCCCCACAUCCUCCGUGCUUAGGACUACAUGAGCUUCCAAGACUGGGCAAGCCAAUGAAAACUCUACAUCGUCUGUCGUGCUUUGUUGCACUUUCUGUUGCUACUGUUGUUUAUUAUGCCUGCUCAUUCGACACGGUUGACGACGUUCCAGAAACCAAGAGACCGGUGUUACGAAAUUAUGCAAGUCGUGCACCUGAAGCAAGCGAGAAAAAGGAACCUUUCUGUCCACGUAUUUUGUUCUGGACUAAGUUUUGGGGAUCGCAAUUAUUAGGACUAAACGGUAAAGAAGAUAUUGUGGUUCCUAACUGUACUCGUCGAUGCCACGCGACAUACAAUAGAGCGCUUUUGAAUGUCAGUGACGUGGUUGUGUUUCACUGCAGAGACAUUAACGCUCGCAAAAUGCCAUCGGAACGAUAUCCUCACCAGAAGUGGAUAUUUUGGUGCAUGGAAGCGCCUCCCCUUGCGUACGUUCCUAAACAUGACGCCGUUGAUUCCCAAUUCAACUGGACCAUGACGUACCGGUAUGAUUCCGAUAUCAUCAUUAGAUACGGUAGAUUUACCCGAAAGCAGCAACCUAUUACGCUGGAGUUGGAAGAAGCCUGGCGCACGAAGAAUAAGACAGCCGUGUGGGCUGUCAGUCAUUGUCGCCCGCACAGCAAACGAGAGAACUUUGUCAUGGAACUUGAUAAAUAUAUCGAUAUAGACGUU
This is a long non-coding RNA of Ornithodoros turicata, 839 nucleotides long. RefSeq lists it as uncharacterized. Lineage: Eukaryota; Metazoa; Arthropoda; Arachnida; Ixodida; Argasidae. The record is from RefSeq and is a predicted model, not a curated record. The transcript is spliced from 2 exons.